Long non-coding RNA from Vicia villosa (hairy vetch), 458 nucleotides. RefSeq lists it as uncharacterized. Lineage: Eukaryota; Viridiplantae; Streptophyta; Magnoliopsida; Fabales; Fabaceae. The record is from RefSeq and is a predicted model, not a curated record. The transcript has 2 exons.
UUAGUCAUGAAAUCAAACUGGAAACCAUGGGUGAAUCUGAACUGGUUUUAGAGCUGAAUGUGUGAUGAACAAGUGCAGAGCUGCCAUGAAUUGGGUCGAUUGAGGAAUGAUUCUGAAUUCAAACUGUGUUUGAGAUUCUAAAUGGCUUUGGAAUGGUGCAAACAAAUUUGUAUUGGCUGGCUACAAGUAAUCUCUUCCUCAGCAAAGGUGCAUAGCAGUGAAUAUGAAGUAGAUGAAGAUAGAAUUAUGAUAAGGAUGGCUUGAAGAUCAGGGCCAUAGCCUUUGAGGAAUUCUGUUUGCAACUGUUUGGUGUAGUCUUUUUUUUUAUAACUGUUAGAAAUAGAUUGUAGUAUCUUCGUACAUAUAACAAAAGAUAGGCGUGGUUUGUAAUGAGUUUAAAAAUUGUGGAAUGUGAUGUGAUGAACUCUUGAAGUUGAGAUGAACUCUUGAAUUAUGUA